GACGAACGCUGGCGGCGUGCCUAAUACAUGCAAGUAGAACGCUGAAGGAGGAGCUUGCUCUUCUGGAUGAGUUGCGAACGGGUGAGUAACGCGUAGGUAACCUGCCUGGCAGCGGGGGAUAACUAUUGGAAACGAUAGCUAAUACCGCAUAACAGUAGAUGUUGCAUGACAUUUACUUAAAAGGUGCAAUUGCAUCACUACCAGAUGGACCUGCGUUGUAUUAGCUAGUUGGUGGGGUAACGGCUCACCAAGGCGACGAUACAUAGCCGACCUGAGAGGGUGAUCGGCCACACUGGGACUGAGACACGGCCCAGACUCCUACGGGAGGCAGCAGUAGGGAAUCUUCGGCAAUGGACGGAAGUCUGACCGAGCAACGCCGCGUGAGUGAAGAAGGUUUUCGGAUCGUAAAGCUCUGUUGUAAGAGAAGAACGAGUGUGAGAGUGGAAAGUUCACACUGUGACGGUAUCUUACCAGAAAGGGACGGCUAACUACGUG
This 495-nucleotide ribosomal RNA is filed under the name uncultured bacterium. RNAcentral's name for it is "partial 16S ribosomal RNA". It matches the Rfam family "Bacterial small subunit ribosomal RNA", at positions 28 to 507 of the family's 1533-position model. The record is from RNAcentral.